This is a long non-coding RNA of Pteropus alecto (black flying fox), 950 nucleotides long. RefSeq lists it as uncharacterized. Lineage: Eukaryota; Metazoa; Chordata; Mammalia; Chiroptera; Pteropodidae. The record is from RefSeq and is a predicted model, not a curated record. The transcript has 3 exons.
GCUUCUAAUCCCUCAAGCCAGCCUGCAAGCCUGAGCCUGAAGCCUCAGCUCUGCCCAACUCCACCUUAUUUGGCUUUGUCUCCAGAACAUCUUUAGGGAGGGGCUGGUCUUAUGCAAGUCUGAUAACACUUUUCAUUGCCUUCUGGCUUCUUGAUCCUAGGAGCAAGCCACAUGCAGCAGUCCCUGCCACUUGGAAGCAAGGCUGUGGAGUGAAUAAGCUCCUAGCAGUAAGGAAGGAAAGCUUACCAAGCAGGAGAAUUGCCCCUUGGCCUAUGGAGGACUGCGGAGAAUAGAUCAGAAAGGGAGAUUCAUCCAGAUAAAGUAUGAGGCACCGGAAACAAGCAGGCAAUCAAAAGGCAGAGUCAAAGGAGAGAACAGAAUUGGAUGAAGAGAUGCAUCUUUGGACAGAUUUAUGGUCUCCUCGUCCACCGAAGGCGUUAUUUAUGAGAAGCAUGCAGUUAGGCCAGUGGAGAGUUUGAGAACGCAUGAAGAUGGACUUGACUCUAAACCUCAUCAUUAACUACAGCACAAAUCAUGUUCCCCAUCCAAGUACACAGGAACUUAAUGCUGGGUCUCAAGAGGUGUGCAAUUAAGUCAUAGCAGCACUGGGCAGAAGUUUUAAAUUAAACAGAUGUGAUGUAUAUUAAUGGCCUAAUGUGACAUCAAAGGAGCAGUUUGGGAUUAUUUUCUUUCUUUCUCCAAAUGGGCUUUGAUCUGGCUCUCUCUCUCACAUUGCCAGGAUUAGUGUGAUGUCUAGAGGCGCAGUGUUAGAAGUGGACUGCCACUUAAGGACUCACUGUGUGGCUGCGGCUGCCACUCACCGAAUCCAAUUUCCUGAGCAGGGUUGGAGCCAUCACCAGUUCUACCUAAAACAAAGCAAAAAAACCUCAAGGAGGCUUAGCAUAUUGUACCAACAAAUAUUGCGAAUAAAACUUUCUUUAGAGAGUCUG